GCAUAUCAGUCAGCGGAGGAAAAGAAAGCAACUGCGAUUGCCCUAGUAACGGCGAGUGAAGCGGCAGCAGCCCAGAUUUGGAAUCUGGCCCCCUUGCGGGGCCCGAGUUGUAAUCUGCAGAGGAAGCGUCUGGCGCGGCGCCGGCCUAGUUCCCUGGAACGGGACGCCGUAGAGGGUGACAGCCCCGUACGGUCGGCCGCCAAGCCUGUGUGUCGCUCCUUCGAAGAGUCGCGUAGUUUGGGAAUGCUGCGCAAAGUGGGAGGUAUGCUCCUCCUAAGGCUAAAUACCGGCCAGAGACCGAUAGCGCACAAGUAGAGUGAUCGAAAGAUGAAAAGUACCUUGAAAAUGGGGUUAAACAGUACGUGAAAUUGCCAAAGGGGAAGCGCUCGUGGCCAGACUCGCGCCCGGCGGAUCAUCCGGCUCUCCCGCCGGUGCACUCUGCCGGGCUCGGGCCAGCGUCGGUCGGCGCCGGUACUGAAAGGCGGUGCGAACGUGGCUCCCUUCGGGGAGUGUUAUAGCGCGCCGCGUAAUGUGCUGGUGCCGUCCGAGGACCGCGCUUUAUGCAAGGACGCUGGCGUAAUGGCCACUAGCGGCCCGUCUUGAAACACGGACCAAGGAGUCGCCCAGAGGCGCGAGUGUGCGGGUGACAAACCCCUGCGCGUAGUGAAAGCGAACGCUGGUGGGAGCCCUCACGGGUGCACCACCGACCGAUCCUGAUGUCUUCGGAUGGAUUUGAGUAUGAGCGUCUCUGGUCGGACCCGAAAGAGGGUGAACUAUGCUUGGGUAGGGUGAAGCCAGAGGAAACUCUGGUGGAGGCCCCGUUUGGGUUCUGACGUGCAAAUCGAUCCAUAAACCUGGGCAUAGCGGCGAAAGACUAAUCGAACCUUCUAGUAGCUGGUUUCCGUCGAAGUUUCCCUCAGGAUAGCUGCUCCGCAACACUCAGUUUUAUGAGGUAAAGCGAAUGAUUAGGGACUCGGGGGCGCUAUUAUGCCUUCAUCCAUUCUCAAACUUUAAAUAUGUAAGAAGCCCUUGUUACUUUGUUGAACGUGGGCCUUCGAAUGUGCGG
RNAcentral lists this ribosomal RNA (1066 nucleotides) under Microthecium sepedonioides. RNAcentral's name for it is "partial 28S ribosomal RNA". It matches the Rfam family "Eukaryotic large subunit ribosomal RNA", at positions 38 to 1120 of the family's 3401-position model. Lineage: Eukaryota; Fungi; Ascomycota; Sordariomycetes; Coronophorales; Ceratostomataceae. The record is from RNAcentral.